Molecule: ribosomal RNA, 468 nt
Filed under: uncultured bacterium
Lineage: Bacteria
Description: partial 16S ribosomal RNA
Rfam family: Bacterial small subunit ribosomal RNA
Source: RNAcentral
GACGAACGCUGGCGGCGUGCUUAACACAUGCAAGUCGAACGGAAAGGCCCUGCUUUUGUGGGGUGCUCGAGUGGCGAACGGGUGAGUAACACGUGAGUAACCUGCCCUUGACUUUGGGAUAACUUCAGGAAACUGGGGCUAAUACCGGCUAGGAGCUCCUGCUGCAUGGUGGGGGUUGGAAAGUUUCGGCGGUUGGGGAUGGACUCGCGGCUUAGCAGCUUGUUGGUUGGGUAGUGGCUUACCAAGGGAUUGACGGGUAGCCCGCACGGGAGGGUGGACGGCCACAAUGGGACUGAGGGAGGGACCAGAAGCGUAAGGGGGGCAAUGGGGGGGAAUAUUACACAACGGGGCGGAGUCUGAGGAAACAACCCCCGGUGCGGGAAGAACGUCUUCGGGGUGGAAACCGCUUUCGCCUGUGACGAAGCGUGAGUGACGGUAAUGGGUAAAGAAGCACCGGCUAACUACGUG